Molecule: non-coding RNA, 29 nt
Filed under: Rattus norvegicus (Norway rat)
Lineage: Eukaryota; Metazoa; Chordata; Mammalia; Rodentia; Muridae
Source: RNAcentral
UGAAUUCUCUUUCUGAUAGGCUAGAUGUC